This 165-nucleotide small RNA is filed under the name Chelonoidis abingdonii (Abingdon island giant tortoise). Its description in RNAcentral is "TUC338 (ENSCABG00000010250.1)". Lineage: Eukaryota; Metazoa; Chordata; Testudines; Testudinidae. The record is from RNAcentral.
UUGAUUUCAGUGGGCUCUGGAACAAGUCUUUUAUUUGCUGAACUGCUACAGCAUGAGGGGCAGCAGGGCAUAUCCUGCCAAUAAGCCUCAGUCCUGACCUGGAGAGACGCCUUCUAAAGGUGAAAGGGGAGUUCAGUCUAUAUCACUAUUUAUCCCUUAGCUUCC